This 468-nucleotide ribosomal RNA is filed under the name uncultured bacterium. Its description in RNAcentral is "partial 16S ribosomal RNA". It matches the Rfam family "Bacterial small subunit ribosomal RNA", at positions 28 to 507 of the family's 1533-position model. The record is from RNAcentral.
GACGAACGCUGGCGGCGUGCUUAACACAUGCAAGUCGAACGGAAAGGCCCUGCUUUUGUGGGGUGCUCGAGUGGCGAACGGGUGAGUAACACGUGAGUAACCUGCCCUUGACUUUGGGAUAACUUCAGGAAACUGGGGCUAAUACCGGAUAGGAGCUCCUGCUGCAUGGUGGGGGUUGGAAAGUUUCGGCGGUUGGGGAUGGACUCGCGGCUUAUCAGCUUGUUGGUGGGGUAGUGGCUUACCAAGACUUUGACGGGUAGCCGGCCUGAGAGGGUGACCGGCCACAUUGGGACUGAGAUACGGCCCAGACUCCUACGGGAGGCAGCAGUGGAGAAUAUUGCACAAUGGGCGGAAGCCUGAUGCAGCAACGCCGCGUGCGGGAUGACGGCCUUCGGGUUGUAAACCGCUUUCGCCUGUGACGAAGCGUGAGUGACGGUAAUGGGUAAAGAAGCACCGGCUAACUACGUG